Molecule: non-coding RNA, 62 nt
Organism: Pseudomonas syringae
Lineage: Bacteria; Pseudomonadati; Pseudomonadota; Gammaproteobacteria; Pseudomonadales; Pseudomonadaceae
Source: Rfam
GGGUGCGUUGUUGCAUAGGGCACUGCGCAGGUUAAAUUCCAACGUUGGUCGGGCCGCCAUCG